AAUGAACGCUGGCGGCAGGCCUAACACAUGCAAGUCGAACGAGACCUUCGGGUCUAGUGGCGCACGGGUGCGUAACGCGUGGGAAUCUGCCCUUAGGUACGGAAUAACUCAGAGAAAUUUGUGCUAAUACCGUAUGAUGUCGAAAGACCAAAGAUUUAUCGCCUAAGGAUGAGCCCGCGUAAGAUUAGCUUGUUGGUGAGGUAAAAGCUCACCAAGGCGACGAUCUUUAGCUGGUCUGAGAGGAUGAUCAGCCACACUGGGACUGAGACACGGCCCAGACUCCUACGGGAGGCAGCAGUGGGGAAUAUUGGACAAUGGGCGAAAGCCUGAUCCAGCAAUGCCGCGUGAGUGAUGAAGGCCUUAGGGUUGUAAAGCUCUUUUACCAGGGAUGAUAAUGACAGUACCUGGAGAAUAAGCUCCGGCUAACUCCGUGCCAGCCGCCGCGGUAA
This 449-nucleotide ribosomal RNA is filed under the name uncultured bacterium. RNAcentral describes it as "partial 16S ribosomal RNA". It matches the Rfam family "Bacterial small subunit ribosomal RNA", at positions 29 to 523 of the family's 1533-position model. The record is from RNAcentral.